Molecule: ribosomal RNA, 798 nt
Filed under: uncultured bacterium
Lineage: Bacteria
Description: bacterial SSU rRNA
Rfam family: Bacterial small subunit ribosomal RNA
Source: RNAcentral
UCCCCGGGCUCANCCUGGGAACUGCGUUCUGAACUGGGUGACUAGAGUGUGUCAGAGGGAGGUAGAAUUCCACGUGUAGCAGUGAAAUGCGUAGAGAUGUGGAGGAAUACCGAUGGCGAAGGCAGCNUCCUGGGAUAACACUGACGUUCAUGCCCGAAAGCGUGGGUAGCAAACAGGAUUAGAUACCCUGGUAGUCCACGCCCUAAACGAUGUCGAUUAGCUGUUGGGCAGCAUGACUGCUUAGUAGCGAAGCUAACGCGUGAAAUCGACCGCCUGGGGAGUACGGUCGCAAGAUUAAAACUCAAAGGAAUUGACGGGGACCCGCACAAGCGGUGGAUGAUGUGGAUUAAUUCGAUGCAACGCGAAGAACCUUACCUGGUCUUGACAUGUACGGAACCCUCCAGAGACGGAGGGGUGCCUUCGGGAGCCGUAACACAGGUGCUGCAUGGCUGUCGUCAGCUCGUGUCGUGAGAUGUUGGGUUAAGUCCCGCAACGAGCGCAACCCUUGUCAUUAGUUGCCAUCAUUAAGUUGGGCACUCUAAUGAGACUGCCGGUGACAAGCCGGAGGAAGGUGGGGAUGACGUCAAGUCCUCAUGGCCCUUAUGACCAGGGCUUCACACGUCAUACAAUGGUCGGUACAGAGGGUAGCCAAGCCGCGAGGUGGAGCCAAUCUCACAAAACCGAUCGUAGUCCGGAUUGCACUCUGCAACUCGAGUGCAUGAAGUCGGAAUCGCUAGUAAUCGCAGGUCAGCAUACUGCGGUGAUUACGUUCCCGGGUCUUGUACACACCGCCCGUCA